UACAGAGAGAGAGAGACAGUGAGAGAGAGAGAGAGAUAUAGAGAGUAAUAUUUUCUAGGCAGGAACAGAGUGAGUGUGAGAGACAGAGAGAGAGACAGAGAGAGAGAGAGAGACAGAUAUAGAGAGAGAGACAGAUAUAGAGAGAGUAAUAUUUUCUAGGCGGGAACAGAGUGAGUCUGUGUGUCUGAGAUAUAUAGAGAGAGAUACAGAGAGAGAGACAGAGAGAGAGAGACAGAUAUAGAGAGUAAUAUUUUCUAGGCGGGAACAGAGUGAGUCUGUGAUUAUGAUUUGAGGAAGUCGGAUCCUCGUCUCCGUGUGAUGGGUGAAAAUAUGAUCACAUGAUGAGAGAACGUGUGCAGCCUAGUCUCAAUUUAACCUUAUCCUCCGUACGUACUGGAGGCUGCUCUUCCCUCUUUAAUCAUGCCGGUUAGGCUACUCUGGUUUAACAGCAGGGUAGCAGCUUGCAGGCAGCUGGCAGGGUAGAAGCUGGCAGAGUAGCAGCUGGCAGGGUAGCAGAUGGCAGAGUAGCAGCUGGCAGGGUAGCAGCUGACAGGGUAGAAGCUGGCAGAGUAGCAGCAGGCAGGGUAGCAGCUGGCAGAGUAGCAGCUGGCAGAGUAGCAGCUGGCAGCGUAGCAGCUGGCAGAGUAGCAGCUGGCAGCGUAGCAGCUGGCAGAGUAGCAGCUGGCAGCGUAGCAGCUGGCAGAGUAUCAGCUGGCAGGGUAGCAGCUGGCAGCGUAGCAGCUGGGAUCCUCUUUUCAGUGACACCCAUCAACACUGCUUGGUUCCAUAUAGAAAUGUCUGGGAACACAUUUCACUCCACAAAUCAACCACUGUUUGAGGAGCACCCAGCCUCUCGCUGCGCGACAGGUGAUAUUCCACCCAGUACUCUGUAUGGGCUCUCCUACCCUGUUCCUGUAGCUACCCAGUGCUCUGUAUGCCAUGGGCACUCCAACCCUGUUCCUACCCAGUACUCUGUAUGCCAUGGGCUCUCCCAACCUUGUUCCUGCAGCUACCCAGUUCUCUGUAUGCCAUGGGCUCUCCUACCCUGUUCCUGCAGCUAACCAGUACUCUGUAUGCCAUGGGCCCUCCUACCUUGUUCCUUCAGCUACCCAGUACUCUGUAUGCCAUGGGCACUCCUACCCUGUUCCUGUAGCUACCCAGUACUCUGUAUGGGCUCUCCUACCCUGUUCCUGCAGCUACCCAGUACUCUGUAUGGGCUCUCCUACCCUGUUACUGUAUCUACCCAGUACUCUGUAUGGGCUCUCCCAACCUUGUUCCUGCAGCUACCCAGUACUCUGUAUGCCAUGGGCUCUCCUACCCUGUUCCUGCAGCUAACCAGUACUCUGUAUGCCAUGGGCCCUCCUACCCUGUUCCUUCAGCUACCCAGUACUCUGUAUGCCAUGGGCUCUCCUACCCUGUUCCUGUAUCUACCCAGUACUCUGUAUGUCAUGGGCUCUCCUACCUUGUUCCUGCAGCUACCCAGUACUCUGUAUGGGCACUCCUACCCUGUUCCUGCACCUACCCAGUACUCUGUAUGCCAUGUGCUCUACUACCCUGUUCCUGCAGCUACCCAGUACUCUGUAUGCCAUGGGCUCUCCUACCCUGCAGCUACCCAGUACUCUGUAUGGGCUCUCCUACCUUGUUCCUGCAGCUACCCAGUACUCUGUAUGCCAUGGGCCCUCCUACCUUGUUCCUUCAGCUACCCAGUACUCUGUAUGCCAUGGGCUCUUCCAACCUUGUUCCUGCAGCUACCCAGUACUCUGUAUGCCAUGGGCCCUCCUACCCUGUUCAUCUACCCAGUACUCUGUAUGUCAUGGGCUCUCCUACCUUGUUCCUGCAGCUACCCAGUACUCUGUAUGCCAUGUGCUCUCCUACCCUGUUCCUGCAGCUACCCAGUACUCUGUAUGGGCACUCCUACCCUGUUCCUGCAGCUACCCAGUACUCUGUAUGCCAUGGGCUCUCCUACCCUGCAGCUACCCAGUACUCUGUAUGGGCUCUCCUACCUUGUUCCUGCAGCUACCCAGUACUCUGUAUGCCAUGGGCCCUCCUACCUUGUUCCUGCAGCUACCCAGUACUCUGUAUGCCAUGGGCCCUCCUACCUUGUUCCUGCAGCUACCCAGUACUCUGUAUGCCAUGGGCUCUUCCAACCUUGUUCCUGCAGCUACCCAGUACUCUGUAUGCCAUGGGCCCUCCUACCCUGUUCAUCUACCCAGUACUCUGUAUGCCAUGGGCUCUCCUACCCUGAUCCUACAUCUACCCAGUACUCUGUAUGGGCCCUCCUACC
This 2284-nucleotide long non-coding RNA is filed under the name Salmo salar (Atlantic salmon). RNAcentral describes it as "lncRNA (ENSSSAG00000102379.1)". Lineage: Eukaryota; Metazoa; Chordata; Actinopteri; Salmoniformes; Salmonidae. The record is from RNAcentral.